GACGAACGCUGGCGGCGUGCUUAACACAUGCAAGUCGAACGGUAAGGCCCUUUCGGGGGUACACGAGUGGCGAACGGGUGAGUAACACGUGGGUGAUCUGCCCUGCACUUUGGGAUAAGCCUGGGAAACUGGGUCUAAUACCGGAUAGGACUACGCGAUGCAUGUCGUGUGGUGGAAAGCUUUUGCGGUGUGGGAUGGGCCCGCGGCCUAUCAGCUUGUUGGUGGGGUGAUGGCCUACCAAGGCGACGACGGGUAGCCGGCCUGAGAGGGUGUCCGGCCACACUGGGACUGAGAUACGGCCCAGACUCCGACGGGAGGCAGCAGUGGGGAAUAUUGCACAAUGGGCGCAAGCCUGAUGCAGCGACGCCGCGUGGGGGAUGACGGCCUUCGGGUUGUAAACCCCUUUCAGCACAGACGAAGCGUAAGUGACGGUAUGUGCAGAAGAAGCACCGGCCAACUACGUG
Molecule: ribosomal RNA, 464 nt
Filed under: uncultured bacterium
Lineage: Bacteria
Description: partial 16S ribosomal RNA
Rfam family: Bacterial small subunit ribosomal RNA
Source: RNAcentral